AUGGGAUCUAACUUCGAUUUAAUCAAAACAUGGCUCAACGAGCAUGAAAGCUAUGAAUUCAACAAAAAUCCCAAGCCGUAUCUGACAAUCUUGCAGCAAGAGUCAGGAGAACAUUCAAUGUCUCAAUCAUCUGAGAACAGUUCAAACAAGAAAAUCUCGGUCAAGAAAAGGUCGGUAAAGCCUUCAAGAAGGCUCCUUGGAGAAAUCAAGAUUCCUACAUUUGUCCCAGGAGAUUUAAAAUUCAUGAACAAAGCCAGAGCACUCCAUGAAUACCUAUUCAGCAAAGAAGGACAGGACGAAUGCGGAGAUCUAAACGUAUAUAUUAGCUCAAAGCGAUAUAAUUGGAUUAUAGGAAAACAAAUAAUGGUACAGCUAAUGAAAGGAGAUGAUGGACAGAUGGAGGGCUCCAUCACAAACGCAUUGUUCGACGAAUGGACAUCACAGCAACAAUACAACACAACCGAUAAAGCCAUACUUCCCGUAGAAUUUGCAAACGUCGUGCUCGGUGUUAAAACUGGAGAGGAAAGUGGACUAGCAGAAUUCAAUGAGGAAGAAGCAUUGAAAGAGUUUGCACCCCUUGUAACAGGCAAGGAACUUUUAAAGAAAAAGCUGAUUAUGAUACCUCACAACACAGAUAAACACUACACACUGUACGUGCUCAACAAGUACACGAACUCCAUCGACAUACUUGACUCACUGAAUUACAGAAACGGGGAUGGAAAAAAACAUGGAAAACACACCAUAAGGACCACCAAGAACUGGGUACCCAAUGCAGAAACUUCAUGGCUCAAUUUGCAAAAUACUGGAAUGACAUUGAACUCAUAA
Molecule: ribosomal RNA, 825 nt
Filed under: Triticum aestivum (bread wheat)
Lineage: Eukaryota; Viridiplantae; Streptophyta; Magnoliopsida; Poales; Poaceae
Description: partial small subunit ribosomal RNA
Source: RNAcentral